Lotus japonicus is the source of this 2277-nucleotide long non-coding RNA. RefSeq lists it as uncharacterized. The record is from RefSeq and is a predicted model, not a curated record. The transcript is spliced from 5 exons. NCBI's taxonomy places the organism in Eukaryota, Viridiplantae, Streptophyta, Magnoliopsida, Fabales, Fabaceae.
UUGUUUGUUUGCAUUUAAUAAAUAAUUUACUUUGACCUUGGAAGAACAAACGUUUUCUGCAACUAAUUAUAUAUCUUCUCAAAUCUCAAUUCCUCCCAUCUGAACGUGCUUCGUACAAAAGGAGUUUUGAGUUGCAUCUCAUGACUAUGCUGCAUGGGCUCGCCAAUUCUUCACAGAGACACAAUUUGCUCCAGGAGCUUUUGGCCGGCGUAGCUUUGGACGAGCCAUAUUCCGUCGUCGCCGCCUCCCUGGCGAAACCCAUAAUCUGCUAUAAUUUUAUUUGAUGGAAGAGAAUUCUAGCAAGAAGAACUCAAUAACUGAGAAGCGAGAAAGAGGAACCUGAGUUGGUGUGAGUGGUUCUACUCUUAUUGAAGUAGAAGAUAAUUCUGAUCGAAGAAGUCAAGAGAUACGACCUGGAAGCUUAUCAAAAAGGAUCAAUUGCCAUGGAUUUAGUUAAAGCAUGUUUUACAGUGUACUGACUGUAGUCAAUUAAAGAUGCAAUCUGGACACAGAAAUACUGAAAUAUGUUGAAGAAGCUUUAUCCAAAAGGUGUCUACGCUGUCUGCUGUAGAAAUUGGAUAGAUGUUGAGGGUUAGAUUCUGAUUUUGAACUUGCUGUGGGGAUCUCUGCUACUAGGCAUAGCCUACAAAUUUUUUGGGAUGUGAAAUUAGUUGAAUAAAAUUAUAUCUGUUAUAUUUGAUAACUAAUUUCAACUGUAGUAUUACACCAAACGUACAUUGAUGCUUUUAUAAUGUUAAUGCAUUUUAAUAUUUUCUAUGGCUUUUGUUUAUAGUAAUGAAAGUUGUUGUUCAACAUGGACUAUAUUUGUUGUCCCAUGUAAGAAGCCUGCGAAGCCUUCAUAAAUAUUUUUUUCCCCAUUCUAAUUAAUCGCUUCCAUAUAUUUUUUUCCCUUUUCUAAUUUCCUGAGAAAAUAGAUUUUGUUGGAAAUUUUAUUUUUUCUGAGUGGGUUCGAUGGGUUUUGAUUUUCUUUCUACAAGAAAAGAUUGGAGGAAACCAUCUGGAUUUGAUUCAGCUUUUGAGUUGUAUUGAUUACAGUCACUGCUCAAUUCUAGACAUGUUAUUUGGUGGAAAGGUUGAAUGUUUCUUUCAUUUGUAUCUAAAUGUAAUGAUAUUAAUUACAAUAUAUUUUUAAUUAUCUUUGGCUAUCUAUUUAUCCAGCAGCAAAUAAGUUAUAUUAUUUUUAUAAUAUUUUUCCUCCCAAUGAGGAUCUUGGUGAUGAAAAUAAAAACCUAAAGUUAUGCAUUAUUUGUUUUUUUUUUGUCUUUGCAGUCCCUUAAUCCUAACACUAUGUGCAGAGGGUAUCACUAACAUUUAAUAUCAGAAUUUGAAUGUUGAUUAUCAUGUAAAUAUUUGUUCUUUUCACUAACAUAAUAUAACUUAUAUUAAAAUAUUUUUUUUUACUUUAGAUUAAUUGUAAUUGCUUAUUUAUUAUUAUCUAUUACUCUAUGAUUGUCUAUUACUCCAUGAUAAAGCAUUCUUUUUAUUGUUUACUCAAAGUGCACAUUCCAUUAUGUAUCUUAUUUUCAUCCAUUUCAUAUUCAUUUGGAAUUGGUGGACCCAACUCUGUUGAGGCAUUUUAUGUUUUGGAACCCUGAUUGUGUAGCUUUUAUCAUCAUAUCCAUGUAGAACAUAGAGAUUAAAGAUGUUUUUUAUAAGUUCUAAUUACAUUUAGAUUUUUUUACCUCUUGAUUUUACAUCUCUUUUUAUUAUGUUCUUAUUAAGAAUGCUACAUAGAUACCCCUGACAUGUUAUGAUGCAGCUAGGCUCCUCGCUGCUUCUUCUGAUGCCUCCAUGUAGAUUAUUCCUUUCUUCAGCGAUGAUGGUAGAACUAAUUUCAUUCUCUUGAAGUUUUUCAGAGCAAGCGACUUUAGGAUUGUUGAAGCUCUCAACAUGCUUCUUAAGUGCUUAGCUUGGAAAAAUGAGUUUGGUGCUGACAGCUUGACACCAUCAGAGAAGAAGAUUUUUGGUUACACUGAGUUACAAGGAAAAUUUUGUAAAACUGAUGAAGUUAAUUUAAUAGAGUGUAAAACAAUGGAUUUCAGUAGUUAGCGUAAAAUACUUUCACUGAUGUAUAUUUUACAGUGGGAUAGAUCUGAGACUUUUGUGGGUUUUAAGGUAUGAAAAAGGAGUGGAGGACAACUCUACAAAGUGAAAACUGCAUGAAGUAUUCACCCCAUUUUAGGGACAUGAUAAAGUUCAAUAAUGAAGUGUAGUAUCUCAUUUUUAUCGUGUUUGUCGUGGUUCAUUUUUUUACCA